This 520-nucleotide ribosomal RNA is filed under the name uncultured Glomus. RNAcentral describes it as "SSU rRNA". It matches the Rfam family "Eukaryotic small subunit ribosomal RNA", at positions 569 to 1091 of the family's 1831-position model. The record is from RNAcentral. Lineage: Eukaryota; Fungi; Glomeromycota; Glomeromycetes; Glomerales; Glomeraceae.
AGCAGCCGCGGUAAUUCCAGCUCCAAUAGCGUAUAUUAAAGUUGUUGCAGUUAAAAGCUCGUAGUUGAAUUUCGGGGUUAGCAGGUCGGUCGUGCCAUCGGUAUGAACUGGUCUCGCUGAUCCCUCCCUCUUGACGAACUGUGAUGCCAUUAAUUUGGUGUCGCAGGGAAUCAGGACUGUUACUUUGAAAAAAUUAGAGUGUUUAAAGCAGGCUCACGCUUGAAUACAUUAGCAUGGAAUAAUGAAAUAGGACGUUUGAUCCUAUUUUGUUGGCCUCUAGGAUUGACGUAAUGAUUAAUAGGGAUAGUUGGGGGCAUUAGUAUUCAAUUGUCAGAGGUGAAAUUCUUGGAUUUAUUGAAGACUAAUUACUGCGAAAGCAUUUGCCAAGGAUGUUUUCAUUAAUCAAGAACGAAAGUUAGGGGAUCGAAGACGAUCAGAUACCGUCGUAGUCUUAACCAUAAACUAUGCCGACUAGGGAUCGGAUGAUGUUAAUUUUUUAAUGAUUCAUUCGGCGCCUUAC